This 749-nucleotide long non-coding RNA is filed under the name Marmota monax (woodchuck). Lineage: Eukaryota; Metazoa; Chordata; Mammalia; Rodentia; Sciuridae. The record is from RNAcentral.
CUCAUCUAUGUAAUUCUAGGUCCCCAAGUUCGAGGCUGCUCAGAUCUAUCUUCUAAGACUUCUGGACUGAGCUGAGUUGUUGCAAAGGCAACAGAGCUGUCAAGGGGAUGGUAAAUAAUAUCCUAGGGAUCACAGCACCGACCUAUAUGGCAACAUCAGAGGGAUCACUGCACAGACCUACAUGGCACACAAUCAGGCUUGGGAUGAGAUUACAAAUAGUAUUAGGACUGAAAGUCCAACAGAGGUGCAGCCAGUGUCACUGUCUGGAGCAGUAGACUGUGGGGAAUCCAGGCCAGUGAGACAUGCCAUAGAAACACUGGGUACCUGAGUAGAGCAGGGCUGAGGAAGGAAGCUCUGCUCCCUCCAUACUCUCUUAAGGGCUAGUAUAGCCACAGAAUCAACUUUCCCAUAGCUGACCUUGGCUUUCAGUGCUGUAGAAUCCUUAGGACAUUUUAGAAUCCUUUGUAAGUGGCUCUAUCUAAGACAAUAAAACAAAAAUGGGUAAAAUAAUACUGUACUUUUGGGUUACCCUAAGUGGAUUAACUUUUUCAUUAAGAGUAAUCAGUGGAAUCCCAGCUACCUGGGAGGCUGGGGCAUAGAGAUCAUGAGUUCAAGGGCAGCCAAGGCAAUACACCAAGACCCUAGCAUCAAAAAAAGAAAAUAAAUAAUUCAAGCUCCAUUGUUGAUAUUAUUUCCAAUGGAUAAAAAACAUCACAAACAUCCACAAUAAGGGACCGGAUAAACAAAAU